Molecule: long non-coding RNA, 428 nt
Filed under: Marmota monax (woodchuck)
Lineage: Eukaryota; Metazoa; Chordata; Mammalia; Rodentia; Sciuridae
Source: RNAcentral
ACAUGCCUGUAAUCCCAGUAGCUUGGGAGUCUGAGGCAGUCAGAUUCAGAGUUUAAGGCCAGCCUUAGCAACCUAGGGAGACCCUAUCUCAAAAUAAAAAAAUGAAAAGGGCUGGGGUGUGACUCAGUGGUUAAACUCCCCUGGGUUCAAUCUCUAGUAUCAAUCAAUCUAUAAAUAAAUAAAUACGCACUCAAUAAACUCUGUUUCAUGGAAUCAUGGUGAAAAGGACUCAAAGCAAUUUCUGCCACAAAGUGAUUGCUCCAUCAAGGUUUGUCAUGAUCUUGUCACUGUCAGAUGGGGGCACUUACCUGUCUUUUCAGGUUUUAGAGCUUUGGAGUUGGAAAUGAAAUGGCUGACUACCAGUUGACCCAGACACCGUGGUAGAGUUCAGUGACUGCCAAAGCUCUUUGGCCAUGACAGUCUGUGUC